CCUACGGGAGGCAGCAGUGAGGAAUAUUGGUCAAUGGGCGGGAGCCUGAACCAGCCAAGUCGCGUGAGGGAAGACGGCCCUAUGGAUUGUAAACCUCUUUAGGCGGGGAGCAAUGCCUGGCACGCGUGUCCGGAUGGAGAGUACCCUAUGACUAAGCAUCGGCUAACUCCGUGCCAGCAGCCGCGGUAAUACGGAGGAUGCGAGCGUUAUCCGGAUUUAUUGGGUUUAAAGGGGGCGUAGGUGGUUUUUUAAGUCAGCGGUGAAAGUUUGUGGCUCAACCAUAAAAUUGCCGUUGAAACUGGAAGACUUGAGUGUGUUUGAGGUAGGCGGAAUGCGUGGUGUAGCGGUGAAAUGCAUAGAUAUCACGCAGAACUCCGAUUGCGAAGGCAGCUUACUGAGCCAUAACUGACACUGAAGCACGAAAGCGUGGGGAUCAAACAGGAUUAGAUACCCUAGUAGUC
RNAcentral lists this ribosomal RNA (461 nucleotides) under uncultured bacterium. RNAcentral's name for it is "partial 16S ribosomal RNA". It matches the Rfam family "Bacterial small subunit ribosomal RNA", at positions 338 to 795 of the family's 1533-position model. The record is from RNAcentral.